This 468-nucleotide ribosomal RNA is filed under the name uncultured bacterium. RNAcentral describes it as "partial 16S ribosomal RNA". It matches the Rfam family "Bacterial small subunit ribosomal RNA", at positions 28 to 507 of the family's 1533-position model. The record is from RNAcentral.
GACGAACGCUGGCGGCGUGCUUAACACAUGCAAGUCGAACGGAAAGGCCCUGCUUUUGUGGGGUGCUCGAGUGGCGAACGGGUGAGUAACACGUGAGUAACCUGCCCUUGACUUUGGGAUAACUUCAGGAAACUGGGGCUAAUACCGGAUAGGAGCUCCUGCUGCAUGGUGGGGGUUGGAAAGUUUCGGCGGUUGGGGAUGGACUCGCGGCUUAUCAGCUUGUUGGUGGGGUAGUGGCUUACCAAGGCUUUGACGGGUAGCCGGCCUGAGAGGGUGACCGGCCACAUUGGGACUGAGGGACGGCCCAGACUCCUACGGGAGGCAGCAGUGGGGAAUAUUGCACAAUGGGCGGAAGCCUGAUGCAGCGACGCCGCGUGCGGGAUGAAGGCCUUCGGGUUGUGAACCGCUUUCGCCUGUGACGAAGCGUGAGUGAUGGUAAUGGGUAAAGAAGCACCGGCUAACUACGUG